This 253-nucleotide ribosomal RNA is filed under the name uncultured bacterium. Its description in RNAcentral is "partial 16S ribosomal RNA". It matches the Rfam family "Bacterial small subunit ribosomal RNA", at positions 524 to 776 of the family's 1533-position model. The record is from RNAcentral.
UACGUAGGGUGCGAGCGUUGUCCGGAAUUAUUGGGCGUAAAGGGCUCGUAGGCGGUUUGUCACGUCGGGAGUGAAAACUCGGGGCUCAACCCCGAGCCUGCUUCCGAUACGGGCAGACCAGAGGUAUGCAGGGGAGAAUGGAAUUCCUGGUGUAGCGGUGAAAUGCGCAGAUAUCAGGAGGAACACCGGUGGCGAAGGCGGUUCUCUGGGCAUUACCUGACGCUGAGGAGCGAAAGUGUGGGGAGCGAACAGG